Schistosoma curassoni is the source of this 45-nucleotide non-coding RNA. NCBI's taxonomy places the organism in Eukaryota, Metazoa, Platyhelminthes, Trematoda, Strigeidida, Schistosomatidae. The record is from Rfam.
AUCUUGCUGACGAGUGCCAAAUUGCACGAAACCUGGGUCCAAGGU